AAGACUAUACUUUCAGGGAUCAUUUCUAUAGUUUCUGACUUGAGAAAUGUGUUUCUAAAGCGUAUGGUCUCGCUAACCACGAUGAUGAGUCAUGAUGUUCCUUUCUGAGCAUGAACUGGGCAGAGAAUAAUGAUUCAGGUCAUAUGUUCUCUGUCAUUGAUGAUUGCUCUUUGCUUCUCUGUGAAGUAUUGAGGAAGGGAGCAUGUUCAGAGUGGUA
Small nucleolar RNA from Lates calcarifer (barramundi perch), 217 nucleotides. The record is from Ensembl. NCBI's taxonomy places the organism in Eukaryota, Metazoa, Chordata, Actinopteri, Centropomidae.